RNAcentral lists this long non-coding RNA (395 nucleotides) under Rattus norvegicus (Norway rat). RNAcentral's name for it is "long non-coding RNA NONRATT020531". The record is from RNAcentral. Lineage: Eukaryota; Metazoa; Chordata; Mammalia; Rodentia; Muridae.
AGCCGGACUCCCAGGCGGCAGCGGUAGCGGCGGCGAGGACGGCGGCGGCGGCGACGGCAGAGAGUUCAUAUGGGAAGGACAUUGGGGUGAGCAUCUUCUCUAUUUGCAGCUGGCUUUUCUGAUUCACCCUACCAUUUAAAACCUGGAGGCACUGGCCCACACAAAGCCUUGCUGAUUUCAGGAAAGAAGAGUCAUCAAAGAUGUCCAGCAAGACAGCGAGCACCAACAGCACAGCCCAAGCUAGGAGAACUGUGCAGCAGCUGAGAUUGGAAGCCUCCAUCGAAAGAAUAAAGGCAAGUGUACUCGACAUGGUGGUGUGUGCUGGGUAACUCCCCACCCUUCCUGGGCGGGAGCAUAGGUCGGGGAAGAUACAGCGAGUGCAGCUGGCUUCCAGG